AAGCAAUACGUACUGCCUAUACAGAAAUGUGUAGAAGUGCAUACAUAAUGUUUACAGUUAUUUUAAAAUAUAUAUAUAACUGAAUGAUAAAUAUGUUUUAAGUCACAUAGCCUGUACCACAUUUUUCUCUAUUAAAAAUGACAAUCAUUCACUUGUCUACAAUUAAUAUAUCUUAGUAAGACUAUGACGGAAAAAAACAUUAAAAGACAAUACAUACAUUAUUAUUAUUAUUAUUAUUAUUAUUAUUAUUAUAGUCUUGCUCUGUUGUCAGGCUGGAGUAAGGUCUUGUGAUCUCGGCUCACUGCAACCUCCGCCUCCCAGGUUCAAGCAAUUCUUCUGCCUCAGCCUCCCAAGUAGCUGGGAUUACAGGCAUGCGCUGUGACACCCAGCUAACUUUUGUAUUUUUAGUAGAGAUGGGGUUUCACCAUGUUGGCCAGGAUGGUCGUGAUCUGCCUGCCUCAGCCUCCCAAAGUGCUGGGAUUACAGGAAAUUAUAACAUCGACCUGAUAGGAUUGCCAAGAAGAUUAACUGACAUAUUAUAUGCAAAGCACUUAGAACAAUGCCUGGCACAUGGGUGUAGCACUGUAAAUGUUUGUCGGAAACAACACUAUCAGGAAAUAUGAUUAUCCUGGAAUAUAUUUGAAGACAGUUCAGCCAAAAUAUAUCCAAAACAGUUUAAGGUGAAACAAUCGCAGCAAUAUAUCUCAAGAAAUGAUUUUUAGUUGUAUACAGGCUCUUUUUCCUUACAGUUAAAUGUGUCUGUAGAAAAGAAAUAACCUAAAUGUCUUCAAAUUUUUGAAUAUUUGCUUCACUCAUAAAAUGCUUAAUACUAGUUGGUAUACUUGUUUAUAUAAUAAACUUUCAUUAGAAUGUUCUGCAUGUAACAUAUAAAAAAUGUCACAAAACAAUAAUUUUAUAAAGCAAGCAAGAAAGCUUUCAAUUUUCAGUCUACCUAUAGGUUUUAUCAUGAAGUCAAAAUAUUAUUUCUUUUGUGUAAACUAUAAGUAUAGAUUUUCCUAAUUAUUAGUGUACUCUCUAACAAGAGAUAAGUUAGCAUCAGUGUUACUAUUCUGAUAACUACUUCUCAUUCACAUCAAAUUUAAUUUGGCUUGAGUAAUAAAUCUUUAUUUUGAUUGUCCUUAGUCUUGGUUCUCAGACUUUAUUAAAUAAAUGAUGCAUAUAAUUUACUUUUUUCCAUUAAAUUAUUGCUCUCUAGGUCAUGAAGUUUAUAGUCAUGAAAUUCUACAAUAAUAUUAUCUUUAUAAGAUUGGUUUCCAUCAUUUCACAUAAAUUAUACCUGUUUAGACUGUCUAUUACUAGGUA
RNAcentral lists this long non-coding RNA (1323 nucleotides) under Callithrix jacchus (white-tufted-ear marmoset). RNAcentral's name for it is "lncRNA (ENSCJAG00000058714.2)". Lineage: Eukaryota; Metazoa; Chordata; Mammalia; Primates; Cebidae. The record is from RNAcentral.